UAAGGAAUAUUGCACAAUGGGGGAAACCCUGAUGCAGCAACGCCGCGUGGGCGAUGAAGGCCUUCGGGCCGUAAAGCCCUUUUCUGGGGGAAGAGCAAGGACGGUACCCCAGGAAUAAGUCUCGGCUAACUACGUGCCAGCAGCCGCGGUAAUACAGAGGGUGCGAGCGUUAAUCGGAAUUACUGGGCGUAAAGCGAGUGUAGGUGGCUCAUUAAGUCACAUGUGAAAUCCCCGGGCUUAACCUGGGAACUGCAUGUGAUACUGGUGGUGCUAGAAUAUGUGAGAGGGAAGUAGAAUUCCAGGUGUAGCGGUGAAAUGCGUAGAGAUCUGGAGGAAUACCGAUGGCGAAGGCAGCUUCCUGGCAUAAUAUUGACACUGAGAUUCGAAAGCGUGGGUAGCAAACA
RNAcentral lists this ribosomal RNA (404 nucleotides) under uncultured prokaryote. RNAcentral describes it as "bacterial SSU rRNA". It matches the Rfam family "Bacterial small subunit ribosomal RNA", at positions 355 to 774 of the family's 1533-position model. The record is from RNAcentral.